Molecule: small nuclear RNA, 107 nt
Filed under: Castor canadensis (American beaver)
Lineage: Eukaryota; Metazoa; Chordata; Mammalia; Rodentia; Castoridae
Source: RNAcentral
GUGCUCGCUUCGGCAGCACAUAAACUAAAAUUGGAAUGAUACACAGAAGAUUAGCAUGGCCCCUACGCAAGGAUGACACACAAAUUUGUGAAGCGUUCCAUAUUUUU